UGUAAGCGUAUAUCAAAGUUGUUGCAGUUAAAACGCUCGUAGUCGGAAUUUGGCAGUUCCGGAUGUGUGCACGUCGUGUGCGCACUUCGCGGGGAUUGCUUUUGUGGUCUUGCGUAGGAUGAGGCACUUUUAUUAGUGAACGUCCUCACGCAACCACUUUUUACUGUGAGAAAAUCAGAGUGCUCAAAGCAGGCAUUUGCCGUGAAUGUAUUAGCAUGGAAUAAUAGAAUAGGACUUGGUUCUAUUUUGUUGGUUUGUUGGGACUGAGUAAUGAUUAAGAGGGACAGUUGGGGGCAUUUGUAUUUCGGUGCUAGAGGUGAAAUUCUUAGAUUACCGAAAGACAAACUGCUGCGAAAGCGUCUGCCAAGGAUGUUUUCAUUGA
RNAcentral lists this ribosomal RNA (382 nucleotides) under uncultured eukaryote. RNAcentral describes it as "partial 18S ribosomal RNA". It matches the Rfam family "Eukaryotic small subunit ribosomal RNA", at positions 592 to 976 of the family's 1831-position model. The record is from RNAcentral.